GACGAACGCUGGCGGCGUGCUUAACACAUGCAAGUCGAACGGAAAGGCCCUGCUUGCAGGGUACUCGAGUGGCGAACGGGUGAGUAACACGUGGGUGAUCUGCCCUGCACUUCGGGAUAAGCCUGGGAAACUGGGUCUAAUACCGGAUAGGAGCCAUUUUUAGUGUGAUGGUUGGAAAGUUUUUUCGGUGUAGGAUGAGCUCGCGGCCUAUCAGCUUGUUGGUGGGGUAAUGGCCUACCAAGGCGGCGACGGGUAGCCGGCCUGAGAGGGUGGACGGCCACAGUGGGACUGAGAUACGGCCCAGACUCCUACGGGUGGCAGCAGUGGGGAAUAUUGCACGAUGGGCGCAAGCCUGAUGCAGCGACGCCGCGUGGGGGAUGACGGCCUUCGGGUUGUAAACUCCUUUCGCUAGGGACGAAGCUUUUUGUGACGGUACCUAGAUAAGAAGCACCGGCUAACUACGUG
RNAcentral lists this ribosomal RNA (465 nucleotides) under uncultured bacterium. Its description in RNAcentral is "partial 16S ribosomal RNA". It matches the Rfam family "Bacterial small subunit ribosomal RNA", at positions 28 to 507 of the family's 1533-position model. The record is from RNAcentral.